CCUCUCCCUUUCUCUUCUCUUGGGUGUUCUAUACACCCCUUCCUUGGGACAAGCAUCCCAAGGAGUUCCAUGCCCAAAGGAGUUUGGGUGCCUCUUCCUUGCUGGUUUCUAGCAUCUAGUAGCAGCACAUAGUAAAGAGAAACUCUAGAGAAGAAAAGAAGAAGAAGAUCAAAGAGAAAGAUCAAGUGUUGAUCGCGAUCC
RNAcentral lists this long non-coding RNA (201 nucleotides) under Elaeis guineensis (African oil palm). RNAcentral describes it as "long non-coding RNA (EGUI_LNC061379)". The record is from RNAcentral. Lineage: Eukaryota; Viridiplantae; Streptophyta; Magnoliopsida; Arecales; Arecaceae.